Molecule: ribosomal RNA, 1556 nt
Filed under: Salmonella enterica subsp. enterica serovar Montevideo str. USDA-ARS-USMARC-1904
Lineage: Bacteria; Pseudomonadati; Pseudomonadota; Gammaproteobacteria; Enterobacterales; Enterobacteriaceae
Description: bacterial SSU rRNA
Rfam family: Bacterial small subunit ribosomal RNA
Source: RNAcentral
UUAAAUUGAAGAGUUUGAUCAUGGCUCAGAUUGAACGCUGGCGGCAGGCCUAACACAUGCAAGUCGAACGGUAACAGGAAGCAGCUUGCUGCUUUGCUGACGAGUGGCGGACGGGUGAGUAAUGUCUGGGAAACUGCCUGAUGGAGGGGGAUAACUACUGGAAACGGUGGCUAAUACCGCAUAACGUCGCAAGACCAAAGAGGGGGACCUUCGGGCCUCUUGCCAUCAGAUGUGCCCAGAUGGGAUUAGCUUGUUGGUGAGGUAACGGCUCACCAAGGCGACGAUCCCUAGCUGGUCUGAGAGGAUGACCAGCCACACUGGAACUGAGACACGGUCCAGACUCCUACGGGAGGCAGCAGUGGGGAAUAUUGCACAAUGGGCGCAAGCCUGAUGCAGCCAUGCCGCGUGUAUGAAGAAGGCCUUCGGGUUGUAAAGUACUUUCAGCGGGGAGGAAGGUGUUGUGGUUAAUAACCGCAGCAAUUGACGUUACCCGCAGAAGAAGCACCGGCUAACUCCGUGCCAGCAGCCGCGGUAAUACGGAGGGUGCAAGCGUUAAUCGGAAUUACUGGGCGUAAAGCGCACGCAGGCGGUCUGUCAAGUCGGAUGUGAAAUCCCCGGGCUCAACCUGGGAACUGCAUUCGAAACUGGCAGGCUUGAGUCUUGUAGAGGGGGGUAGAAUUCCAGGUGUAGCGGUGAAAUGCGUAGAGAUCUGGAGGAAUACCGGUGGCGAAGGCGGCCCCCUGGACAAAGACUGACGCUCAGGUGCGAAAGCGUGGGGAGCAAACAGGAUUAGAUACCCUGGUAGUCCACGCCGUAAACGAUGUCUACUUGGAGGUUGUGCCCUUGAGGCGUGGCUUCCGGAGCUAACGCGUUAAGUAGACCGCCUGGGGAGUACGGCCGCAAGGUUAAAACUCAAAUGAAUUGACGGGGGCCCGCACAAGCGGUGGAGCAUGUGGUUUAAUUCGAUGCAACGCGAAGAACCUUACCUGGUCUUGACAUCCACGGAACUUUCCAGAGAUGGAUUGGUGCCUUCGGGAACCGUGAGACAGGUGCUGCAUGGCUGUCGUCAGCUCGUGUUGUGAAAUGUUGGGUUAAGUCCCGCAACGAGCGCAACCCUUAUCCUUUGUUGCCAGCGGUCCGGCCGGGAACUCAAAGGAGACUGCCAGUGAUAAACUGGAGGAAGGUGGGGAUGACGUCAAGUCAUCAUGGCCCUUACGACCAGGGCUACACACGUGCUACAAUGGCGCAUACAAAGAGAAGCGACCUCGCGAGAGCAAGCGGACCUCAUAAAGUGCGUCGUAGUCCGGAUUGGAGUCUGCAACUCGACUCCAUGAAGUCGGAAUCGCUAGUAAUCGUGGAUCAGAAUGCCACGGUGAAUACGUUCCCGGGCCUUGUACACACCGCCUGUCACACCAUGGGAGUGGGUUGCAAAAGAAGUAGGUAGCUUAACCUUCGGGAGGGCGCUUACCACUUUGUGAUUCAUGACUGGGGUGAAGUCGUAACAAGGUAACCGUAGGGGAACCUGCGGUUGGAUCACCUCCUUACCUGAAAGAAGC